Molecule: long non-coding RNA, 389 nt
Filed under: Bos taurus (domestic cattle)
Lineage: Eukaryota; Metazoa; Chordata; Mammalia; Artiodactyla; Bovidae
Description: long non-coding RNA NONBTAT004838
Source: RNAcentral
UGGAAAGUUAGCUUGUUUUAAUAGGGGCUAUGCUCUACACUUCCCUCCCCUCCCCCUGCCCGCCCACCUCCCAACCCACUCUUAACGUCCAUAAGUCAGAUCCUUAUCAGAUCAUUGUUACCUUCUAAAAAGCGAUCUAUUUUUCACCUGUUGGACUCUGUUAGUGGUCUGAGGAAGAACAGAUCACUUUGUAAACUACGGAUGGUCUGAUAAGGUUUUUACUGACCCACUGACUUUAGAGUUACACUCUGUUUACUACAUCAUAAUGCUGGUUUUGCUGACUUUUUGAAUACAUACACAAUUCAGUAUUGUCUCUGUUCACCUUGUUUUUAUUUCAUUGACAGAAUCAAACCAGCAUUCCCCACUGUGUAAAUAAAUGAUUUUGCUGA